CGAACGGGUGAGUAACAUAUCGGAACGUACCGAGCAGUGGGGGAUAACUAAUCGAAAGAUUAGCUAAUACCGCAUAUCUUCUGAGGAAGAAAGCAGGGGACCAUUUGGCCUUGCGCUGUUUGAGCGGCCGAUAUCUGAUUAGCUAGUUGGUGGGGUAAAGGCCUACCAAGGCGACGAUCAGUAGCGGGUCUGAGAGGAUGAUCCGCCACACUGGGACUGAGACACGGCCCAG
Molecule: ribosomal RNA, 232 nt
Filed under: uncultured Neisseriales bacterium
Lineage: Bacteria; Pseudomonadati; Pseudomonadota; Betaproteobacteria; Neisseriales
Description: partial 16S ribosomal RNA
Rfam family: Bacterial small subunit ribosomal RNA
Source: RNAcentral